Molecule: small nuclear RNA, 162 nt
Organism: Echinops telfairi (small Madagascar hedgehog)
Lineage: Eukaryota; Metazoa; Chordata; Mammalia; Afrosoricida; Tenrecidae
Gene: U1
Rfam family: U1 spliceosomal RNA
About the family: U1 is a small nuclear RNA (snRNA) component of the spliceosome (involved in pre-mRNA splicing). Its 5' end forms complementary base pairs with the 5' splice junction, thus defining the 5' donor site of an intron.
Source: Ensembl
AUACUUACCUGGCAGGGGAAAUACCACGACCAUGAAGGUGGUUUUCCCAGGGCAAGGAAACCAUUGCUUAUCCAUUGCACCCCGGAUAUGCUGGCCACUGCAAUUUCCCCAAAUGUGGGAAACUUGACUGCAUAAUUUGUGGUAGUAUAAACAUUUUUUAAA